Molecule: long non-coding RNA, 1136 nt
Filed under: Heterocephalus glaber (naked mole-rat)
Lineage: Eukaryota; Metazoa; Chordata; Mammalia; Rodentia; Bathyergidae
Description: lncRNA (ENSHGLG00100047415.1)
Source: RNAcentral
AGGAGAGAAAAAAAUGUUUUACUUAGGUACAUCCACAGCAAGAUAGUCAGAGCAUGAAGUAUAUACAAGGUUUUAAGUAAUUUGGCUCAAGGCCACAGCCUGUUUUCAGUGUUUUGGGCAAAAACCUAGAUACUUUUAUCAAGGCCUGGGAAGGUUCAAGGGCCCACCUUGGGCCCACAUUUGGUCAGACAAACUUGCUGGCAAAGGAGUCAAAGAGUGGUCAAGGCAUCCUGUGAUUUUGCUCGAGACACAGGAAGAAAGCAGAGGGAACUGGAGGAACCUACAGUUAGCAUCUGAAGAGGGAGCAGAUCUGAGAGAAAGGAAAGACCAUUGAGCAAAGAUAUCUAAGCAUCUAUGUGUGGAGAAGUGUUGAUGGAAAGGGGGAAAUUAUAUUACCAGUUUGAAAUGUUAAUAUCAUGAGGUUGCCUUAUAGUGAGAAUGGAAAUGCUCUAUUACAUGUAAUUUGAGAUUAAGAAUCCUCAAUUUUGCAGGCUUCAAGCCCCACUACUACAUUCAGGCUGUAAGCAUUGCUCAACUCCACACCCUAAGGGGGCUCCACUGCUCAAGAACUUUUGAGGUUUGGCAGCAGCUAAUCUUUGGAUUACACAGAGGAUAGAACUUGGAUCCUUGCACUUGCGCAGCAGGUGGCGAAACCACUGAGCUAAAUCCCUGGCCCAGAAUGAUAUUUCUUCAUGAAGACAGAAUGUCUCAUAGGAAUCCAUGGCCAUCUGGCAUCUAUGACUUGAACUUACUAAAAGCCUAUGGCUGUCUCCAGUCAUUAUGACAAUGAAAAGCCUCCUCCACACAUUUCCAAAUGUCCCCGAGGGAGCAAAAACAGCCCCAGCAAGUGAUCUAAACCUCUGAGGAAGAGAAGGAGGAGGAGGAGAAGGAGGAGGAGGAGUUUAAUAGAAAGGACAAAGAAAAAACAAGCAAUGGGCAAUGAUCAAAGAGAGGAAAACAACAACAAAAUACCCUGAGGAAGCUCAGAGAUGUCAACAGUGGGUCCUUAUGAGUCAGGAAGUAAUAAUAGAAGAAGAUUCCUGAACCCAAGGUUCUGAGUGGAAUUGAAUGUGGAUAAAAUAAGGUAAAAUGAAAAAAACUGUUAUGGUUAAAGACCUAGAAGCAUACAUGAUGAG